RNAcentral lists this ribosomal RNA (477 nucleotides) under uncultured bacterium. Its description in RNAcentral is "SSU rRNA". It matches the Rfam family "Bacterial small subunit ribosomal RNA", at positions 26 to 523 of the family's 1533-position model. The record is from RNAcentral.
AGGACGAACGCUGGCGGCGUGCUUAACACAUGCAAGUCGAGCGGAAAGGCCCUUCGGGGUACUCGAGCGGCGAACGGGUGAGUAACACGUGAGCAACCUGCCCUCAGCUCUGGGAUAGCUCCGGGAAAACCGGAAUUAAUACCGGAUAUGACCCUGACUGACAUCGGUCAGGGUGGAAAGGAUUCCGGCUGAGGAUGGACUCGCGGCCUAUCAGCUAGUUGGUGGAGUAACGGCCCACCAAGGCGACGACGGGUAGCCGGCCUGAGAGGGCGACCGGCCACACUGGGACUGAGACACGGCCCAGACUCCUGCGGGAGGCAGCAGUGGGGAAUAUUGCGCAAUGGGCGAAAGCCUGACGCAGCGACGCCGCGUGGGGAUGAAUGCCUUCGGGUUGUAACCCCUUUCAGCAGGACGAAGCGAGAGUGACGGUACCUGCAGAAGAAGCGCCGGCUAACUACGCGCCAGCAGCCGCGGUAA